GUGCCAGCCCUAUGAGUACCGAUUGGAC
This 28-nucleotide non-coding RNA is filed under the name Homo sapiens (human). The record is from RNAcentral. Lineage: Eukaryota; Metazoa; Chordata; Mammalia; Primates; Hominidae.